Molecule: ribosomal RNA, 301 nt
Filed under: uncultured bacterium
Lineage: Bacteria
Description: partial 16S ribosomal RNA
Rfam family: Bacterial small subunit ribosomal RNA
Source: RNAcentral
CAGUAGCCACGGUAAUACGAAGGGUGCAAGCGUUACUCGGAAUUACUGGGCGUAAAGCGUGCGUAGGUGGUGGUUUAAGUCCGUUGUGAAAGCCCUGGGCUCAACCUGGGAAUUGCAGUGGAUACUGGGUCACUAGAGUGUGCUAGAGGAUAGUGGAAUUUCCGGUGUAGCAGUGAAAUGCGUAGAGAUCGGAAGGAACAUCUGUGGCGAAGGCGACUAUCUGGGCCAACACUGACACUGAGGCACGAAAGCGUGGGGAGCAAACAGGAUUAGAUACCCCCGUAGUCCCUGUCUCUUAUAC